UGACACGCCUGCGCGCGUGCACCUCGGCCCUCAGCUUCUCCGGGCUGAGACACGCCUGCGCGCGUGCACCUCGGCCCUCAGCCUCUCCGGGCUAAGACACGCCUGCGCGCGUACAUCUCAUUGCUUCCGUGAGUAUCCCCCCCCGGUAGCGUGUUUUAGUUGGUCUCUGUUACCCUAAAGCACGCGAACUAGGCGGCCCUUGCUCAGUCCCUCUCACAGGCCGGUGUGUCGAUGUGUCCGGCCCUUGGGCCCUUCUCUCCCUACCCCCUCCCCACGGCCAGCCGGCAUGCCCCUGAAACGCCAGCCUGGUGCCGUGUUUGUCCUCUUGGGGGCAGCCACCGCUCAGGCAAGAGACGGCCCAGCCCCGGCGCAGCUGCAGCUGCCCUGGGCCUCUCCUCUUCGACCAGGGCAGGCCUGGCGCCCUUUGAAGGGACAGUGGCUUGGGGACCAGCCUUCCCCCAAGAGGAGACUCCGGCGUGACUCCGUUUCAGCUCGGGUCUCCCCCGCCUCUCCAGGGGGCUGUUCGGGGGCCCCCCCGGGCCUGGCCUCAGGGACCUGGCCUUCAGGCCUGGCCCCCUGAGUACGGGCGGUGGUGGAAGCGUAGUGGCGGCCACUGUUUUCGAGACCCUCUGCUCUGCUGGGGGGCACGGAGCGUGCAGAGCGGGGUCCUUGCUGCGAGGGCUGGGCUGGCUGGACAGGUCGCACCCAAGCCCCGCGGCUGGGGGCAGUCAGAAGGCGGGCGGUUGGCCGGGCGGUCCUCACGCAGCAGGAAGGGCAGGUGGGGGCGGGGGCCCCGGGGGGGUGAGCAGGAGGGGCGCCGCCUGGCCCCGACUCCCGUCCCUGCGCCAGCGGGACAGAGCUGCCACCGGGUCAUCUGGCCUCCCGGGGCUGCAGGCUCAUCCCCGCGUCGUGCUGGUAUUUUUCAUCCUUUCUCUCUUGCUCUCAUUUUUUUUUUUAAUAAAAAUAACUAUGAAGGGUCCAAGACGCCUUUCUUUCUCGACAUCCCAGCCCUGAGGUCCCAG
RNAcentral lists this long non-coding RNA (1022 nucleotides) under Capra hircus (goat). RNAcentral's name for it is "lncRNA (ENSCHIG00010024850.1)". The record is from RNAcentral. Lineage: Eukaryota; Metazoa; Chordata; Mammalia; Artiodactyla; Bovidae.